CGUAGGUGACCUGCGGAAGGAUCAUUAUCGAGUUUGGUUGGGUUGUCGCUGGCCGCAAGGCAUGUGCACGCCCAUCUUCAUCCACUCUCAACUUCUGUGCACUAUCGCAUGUAAGGUUGGCUUUGUGACGGUGGGAGGCUGGCUUCACGGCUGGUCUCGUCCGUUGUAUCGCUCUGCCUUGCGUGUCUUCACUACAAACGAUUCAGUUAUAGAAUGUCUCUAUGCGGAUAACGCAACUAUAUACAACUUUCAGCAACGGAUCUCUUGGCUCUCGCAUCGAUGAAGAACGCAGCGAAAUGCGAUAAGUAAUGUGAAUUGCAGAAUUCAGUGAAUCAUCGAAUCUUUGAACGCACCUUGCGCUCCUUGGUAUUCCGAGGAGCAUGCCUGUUUGAGUCUCAUGGAAUUCUCAACCUUGCAGUUUUGCUACUGCAAGGCUUGGACUUGGAGGUCGUGUCGGCUCUCGUCAGUUGACUCCUCUGAAAUGCAUUAGUGCGGACGUUACCGGUCGCUUCAGCGUGAUAAUUAUCUGCGCUGCCGUCGUGCUGGUAUGUAAAGUACGCGCUUCUAACCGUCCUUCACGGGACAAAUCACUAUGAAACUCUGAGCUCAAAUCAGGUAGGACUACCCGCUGAACUUAAGCAUAUCAAUAAGCGGAGGAAAAGAAACUAACAAGGAUUCCCCUAGUAACUGCGAGUGAAGCGGGAAAAGCUCAAAUUUAAAAUCUGGCGGUCUUCGGCCGUCCGAGUUGUAAUCUGGAGAAGCGUC
This 765-nucleotide ribosomal RNA is filed under the name Porostereum sp. UOC WASNP W04. RNAcentral describes it as "eukaryotic LSU rRNA". The stretch from base 245 to 398 matches the Rfam family "5.8S ribosomal RNA". Lineage: Eukaryota; Fungi; Basidiomycota; Agaricomycetes; Polyporales; Phanerochaetaceae. The record is from RNAcentral.